UGGCCCAACGGGGAUUGCCUCAGUAGCGGCGAGUGAAGCGGCAAGAGCUCAGAUUUGAAAUCGUGCUUUGCGGCACGAGUUGUAGAUUGCAGGUUGGAGUCUGUGUGGAAGGCGGUGUCCAAGUCCCUUGGAACAGGGCGCCCAGGAGGGUGAGAGCCCCGUGGGAUGCCGGCGGAAGCAGUGAGGCCCUUCUGACGAGUCGAGUUGUUUGGGAAU
RNAcentral lists this ribosomal RNA (216 nucleotides) under Pichia kudriavzevii. RNAcentral's name for it is "partial 26S ribosomal RNA". It matches the Rfam family "Eukaryotic large subunit ribosomal RNA", at positions 56 to 281 of the family's 3401-position model. Lineage: Eukaryota; Fungi; Ascomycota; Pichiomycetes; Pichiales; Pichiaceae. The record is from RNAcentral.